AAAUUCUGGUUUCUCUUCAUAUUGUAUAAAUCUUUUGCCUUUUACUAAAGAUUUCCAUGAAGAGGAAUGUUUAUGAGUUUGUAUUCAAUUUUUUGAGGCUUCACUCUGGUGAAGCU
Molecule: small nuclear RNA, 116 nt
Organism: Pelodiscus sinensis (Chinese soft-shelled turtle)
Lineage: Eukaryota; Metazoa; Chordata; Testudines; Trionychidae
Gene: U5
Rfam family: U5 spliceosomal RNA
About the family: U5 RNA is a component of both types of known spliceosome. The precise function of this molecule is unknown, though it is known that the 5' loop is required for splice site selection and p220 binding, and that both the 3' stem-loop and the Sm site are important for Sm protein binding and cap methylation.
Source: Ensembl